GACGAACGCUGGCGGCGUGCUUAACACAUGCAAGUCGAACGGUGAAGCGCCUUCCUUUUUGGUGGGUGUGGAUGAGUGGCGAACGGGUGAGUAACACGUGAGUAACCUGCCCCCUUCUUCUGGAUAACCGCAUGAAAGUGUGGCUAAUACGGGAUAUUCUGGGUCUGUCGCAUGAUGGGUCUGGGAAAGAUAUUGUUUCGGUGGGGGAUGGGCUCGCGGCCUAUCAGCUUGUUGGUGGGGUGAUGGCCUACCAAGGCGGUGACGGGUAGCCGGCCUGGGAGGGUGGACGGUCACACUGGGACUGAGACACGGCUCAGACUCCUACGGGAGGCAGCAGUGGGGAAUAUGGCACAAUGGGCGCAAGCCUGAUGCAGCGACGCCGCGUGAGGGAUGGAGGCCUUCGGGUUGUGAACCUCUUUCGCCAGUGAAGCAGGCCUGCCUCGUUUGUGGGUGGGUUGACGGUAGCUGGAGAAGAAGCGCCGGCUAACUACGUG
Molecule: ribosomal RNA, 494 nt
Filed under: uncultured bacterium
Lineage: Bacteria
Description: partial 16S ribosomal RNA
Rfam family: Bacterial small subunit ribosomal RNA
Source: RNAcentral